UGGCGGACGGGUGAGUAAUGUCUGGGAAACUGCCUGAUGGAGGGGGAUAACUACUGGAAACGGUAGCUAAUACCGCAUAACGUCGCAAGACCAAAGAGGGGGACCCUCGGGCCUCUUGCCAUCGGAUGUGCCCAGAUGGGAUUAGCUUGUUGGUGGGGUAACGGCUCACCAAGGCGACGAUCCCUAGCUGGUCUGAGAGAAUGACCAGCCACACUGGAACUGAGACACGGUCCAGACUCCUACGGGAGGCAGCAUG
This 256-nucleotide ribosomal RNA is filed under the name uncultured bacterium. Its description in RNAcentral is "partial 16S ribosomal RNA". It matches the Rfam family "Bacterial small subunit ribosomal RNA", at positions 96 to 353 of the family's 1533-position model. The record is from RNAcentral.